Non-coding RNA from Sus scrofa (pig), 625 nucleotides. The record is from RefSeq and is a predicted model, not a curated record. NCBI's taxonomy places the organism in Eukaryota, Metazoa, Chordata, Mammalia, Artiodactyla, Suidae.
AUCCUUUAACCCACUGUGCCUGGCUGGGAAUCGAACCUGUGUGUCUGCAGUGACCCAAGCCCCUGCAGUCAGAUUUUUAACCCACUACGCCACAGCAUGAACUCUGUUCAUGAUGUUUUUGCUUGCUUAAUUUGUCAGAUCAUCCAUCCAUUCUCAGUUAUUCAAGGUCAUUGAAAGGAGUUCUUGGACAAUUUUAAGAAAGAAGAGCUUGCAUUCUUUCAACCAACCAACUAACCAACCACACAUGAAAAGCAGAAGGAUAUGUGGGGCAAGGCUGUGGCCCCGAAAACACUAUAUAACAAGGGACAAGCCACAGACUCCGUGGAUGCACUUGCCAGUAAAGACUACUGUACGAGCUGCAGCUGGCUGAAUGUGCAAAAGCAGAAUGUCAGAUACAGAGGAACCUUGGAUAUGAGGACCAAUUAUAAGCAUGCCCUGGCGUGAAGCAGGAUCUCAGUUCCCAGGCUGGGGAUUGAACCUGGUAAAAGUGCCAAAUCCUAACCACUAGACUACCAAGGAACUCCCAUUAUCUCUAAUGCUUUUGUUCUUUAACCUUUUGUUCUUUAACCUUUAUACUAGAAUUAAAUGAUUAUGCUAUGCUACUGUAUUAAAGUAUUCUGAAUUC